GAUGAACGCUGGCGGCGUGCCUAAUACAUGCAAGUCGAGCGAACAGACGAGGAGCUUGCUCCUCUGACGUUAGCGGCGGACGGGUGAGUAACACGUGGAUAACCUACCUAUAAGACUGGGAUAACUUCGGGAAACCGGAGCUAAUACCGGAUAAUAUAUUGAACCGCAUGGUUCAAUAGUGAAAGACGGUUUUGCUGUCACUUAUAGAUGGAUCCGCGCCGCAUUAGCUAGUUGGUAAGGUAACGGCUUACCAAGGCAACGAUGCGUAGCCGACCUGAGAGGGUGAUCGGCCACACUGGAACUGAGACACGGUCCAGACUCCUACGGGAGGAAGCAGUAGGGAAUCUUACGCAAUGGGCGAAAGCUUGACGGAGCAACGCCGCGUGAGUGAUGAAGGUCCUCGGAUCGUAAAACUCUGUUAUUAGGGAAGAACAAAUGUGUAAGUAACUAUGCACGUCUUGACGGUACCUAAUCAGAAAGCCACGGCUAACUACGUG
This 497-nucleotide ribosomal RNA is filed under the name uncultured bacterium. RNAcentral describes it as "partial 16S ribosomal RNA". It matches the Rfam family "Bacterial small subunit ribosomal RNA", at positions 28 to 507 of the family's 1533-position model. The record is from RNAcentral.